This is a small nuclear RNA of Neomonachus schauinslandi (Hawaiian monk seal), 104 nucleotides long. The record is from RefSeq and is a predicted model, not a curated record. NCBI's taxonomy places the organism in Eukaryota, Metazoa, Chordata, Mammalia, Carnivora, Phocidae.
GUGCUUACUUUGGCAGCACAUCUACUAAAAUUAGAACGAUAUAGAGAUUAGCAUGACCCCUGCUCAAGGAUGACAUGCAAAUUCGUGAAGCAUUCCAUAUUUUA